Molecule: non-coding RNA, 30 nt
Filed under: Rattus norvegicus (Norway rat)
Lineage: Eukaryota; Metazoa; Chordata; Mammalia; Rodentia; Muridae
Source: RNAcentral
UAGACAGUGUUGAAAAUGUGCCUCCUGGAG